GCUCAACCGAGGAAGUGCUUCGAAAACUGGUAAACUUGAGUGCAGAAGAGGAAAGUGGAACUCCAUGUGUAGCGGUGGAAUGCGUAGAUAUAUGGAAGAACACCAGUGGCGAAGGCGGCUUUCUGGUCUGUAACUGACGCUGAGAUUCGAAAGCAUGGGUAGCAAACAGGAUUAGAUACCCUGGUAGUCCAUGCCGUAAACGAUGAGUGCUAAGUGUUGGAGGGUUUCCGCCCUUCAGUGCUGCAGCUAACGCAUUAAGCACUCCGCCUGGGGAGUACGAUCGCAAGAUUGAAACUCAAAGGAAUUGACGGGGGCCCGCACAAGCGGUGGAGCAUGUGGUUUAAUUCGAAGCAACGCGAAGAACCUUACCAGGUCUUGACAUACCAUGAAAAGCUAAGAGAUUAGUCUUUCCCUUCGGGGACAUGGAUACAGGUGGUGCAUGGUUGUCGUCAGCUCGUGUCGUGAGAUGUUGGGUUAAGUCCCGCAGCGAGCGCAACCCUUAUUAUCAGUUGCCAGCAUUCAGUUGGGCACUCUGGUGAGACUGCCGGUGACAAACCGGAGGAAGGUGGGGACGACGUCAAAUCAUCAUGCCCCUUAUGACCUGGGCUACACACGUGCUACAAUGGUCGGUACAACG
RNAcentral lists this ribosomal RNA (637 nucleotides) under uncultured bacterium. RNAcentral's name for it is "bacterial SSU rRNA". It matches the Rfam family "Bacterial small subunit ribosomal RNA", at positions 607 to 1244 of the family's 1533-position model. The record is from RNAcentral.